Molecule: ribosomal RNA, 468 nt
Filed under: Lactococcus lactis
Lineage: Bacteria; Bacillati; Bacillota; Bacilli; Lactobacillales; Streptococcaceae
Description: bacterial SSU rRNA
Rfam family: Bacterial small subunit ribosomal RNA
Source: RNAcentral
GACGAACGCGGCGGCGUGCCUAAUACAUGCAAGUUGAGCGCUGAAGGUUGGUACUUGUACCAACGGAUGAGCAGCGAACGGGUGAGUAACGCGUGGGGAAUCUGCCUUUGAGCGGGGGACAACAUUUGGAAACGAAUGCUAAUACCGCAUAAAAACUUUAAACACAAGUUUUAAGUUUGAAAGAUGCAAUUGCAUCACUCAAAGAUGAUCCCGCGUUGUAUUAGCUAGUUGGUGAGGUAAAGGCUCACCAAGGCGAUGAUACAUAGCCGACCUGAGAGGGUGAUCGGCCACAUUGGGACUAAGACACGGCCCAAACUCCUACGGGAGGCAGCAGUAGGGAAUCUUCGGCAAUGGACGAAAGUCUGACCGAGCAACGCCGCGUGAGUGAAGAAGGUUUUCGGAUCGUAAAACUCUGUUGGUAGAGAAGAACGUUGGUGAGAGUGGAAAGCUCAUCAAGUGACGUAACUA